This 1594-nucleotide small RNA is filed under the name Oryza sativa Japonica Group (Japanese rice). Its description in RNAcentral is "sRNA Os04g0410050". The record is from RNAcentral. Lineage: Eukaryota; Viridiplantae; Streptophyta; Magnoliopsida; Poales; Poaceae.
ACAACAAGAACUCAUCAUUCCUAUAACAUAUUCUACACAUAUGACGAUAGGCCGAAACUAUUUCUGGACUUACACAAUAUAAGUCUUCUUGAGUCCUUUCCUGCCACGCCGCCUCUUCAGAUUGGAUGCAUCAGUCAUGCGAUUCAUAGCGUUGAGAAUUUCCUCAUCCUCGUUGUUCCACAGUAUUCUCGAUUUAUCAGGGUUUUCUAACAGCUGCUUGGCCACGAGAAAACCGGCAAUGGUCCAUGUCUGAAAAAGCCGAGACUGCUUCCCGAUGAAUCGUGCACGUUUGGUAUCGUAGUAUUCAGGCCAUUUAUCAUUGGCAAUACGUCGCUCAGCAACCUCCACAGCUUUUGCUGCAAUCUCUGACCGGUCCACCUUGAUACAUGCUACUUACCUGCCACAAUAGUGUUGGCCAGGAACCUCCAUUAUGGUAAGACCAAGCCCUGUUUUUAGGGUCGCUCCCUGUAAUGAAUUUCCACUCCUGAUCCUCAAGAGCAGGAUAGCAUAUCUUCAUUGGCAUAUCCGCCACUAAAUCAGACCAUUUGGCUUCAACCAGAUCCAAAAUAGCAUCAGACUGGUGGGAUGUUGCCAAACUACUUACUAUUGACCACAAGUUCCCAAGAGAAAAGAACCGAAAAUCCAUAUGAGCUGGCUGCAGGUUUCCAAUGAAGUAACCCCCUUUAGGAGGGAUCCAUUCAACCAGCCAGGGAGGAAUCUGAUCUGGAUAUAUGUUAAACUUGUUGACAGCGUCAUAAGAAUACUCCUCUGUUUUGUAUCGAUAUAUCUCAUUUAGCUUUCUCUUGUCAAGCCAAUAAUACUCUCUGAUAUGAAAAGAGAGUGCAAUAAGCCUGCUAUUUAGGGCACGAAUCAAGUCAGCUGAUCCAUCUUCUGGGGUAAGCAUCUCACGUGCACACAAGAGAGCUGAAUAGAAAAGUGCCUGAAUUUCCAAUGGGUGUCCAUGGAUUCCCAUUCGACGAUCUAUCAUGCAUGAGCCAUCAGUAACAAGCAAGGUGGGAAACAUGUCGAAGCCAUCAGCUAAGCAGAGCUUCAAGAUCAUCUUUAUUCCAGUCUGGACAUCAAUUCUCUCCUGAACCGACAGAUCGCCUGAACAUUUUCCGUAUGCUCUCAGCAAUAUGAUCCACCAUAAACCUGAAAACCAUUAAUCAACUGGUGCCACACGUCCUAUUGCAGCCUCCCCGAAAUCAGGAUCCAGGACUUCCUCAGUUACAUCAUCGUCCCCGUCAAGUGGAACAACACGCACCUUGAAACUUGCUGGCAUCAACCCUUGACCUGGACUGUGGCAGUCCAUCGUUUUCUCCCAGCUCUGCAGAUCUGGAGGGUGUGCAGGAUGAAGUUGCGGACGAUCUCGUAGUCCCCCUUGAGCAGGAAGGCGAUGCCCGAGGGCACGAAGUCCCGGAUGAACACCUGGUCGUAGUUGAGCGGGCUGGCGUCGUUGGGGUCGCACGCGGCGAUCGUGCCCACGGGGCUGCCGCAGUAGCGCACCACCGACUCCCGGAGCAGCCCCCACGCCUCGUCCUCCACGUCAUGAGGCCCGCGCCUCUGCCUCCUCUGCGGCGCCUUCGCCGGCGCC